CUAGGGAAACUCCAAGACUCUGGGAGCGGGAGAGGCAAGAGGUACUCCUAGGGUAGAGGUAAAAUUUUUUAAUCCUAGAAGGACCACCAGUAGCGAAGGCGCCUUGCUAGAACACGUUUGACAGUGAGGGACGAAGCCUAGGGGAGCAAACCUGGAUUAGAUACCCAGNUAGUCCUAG
Molecule: ribosomal RNA, 178 nt
Filed under: uncultured euryarchaeote
Lineage: Archaea; Methanobacteriati; Methanobacteriota
Description: partial 16S ribosomal RNA
Rfam family: Archaeal small subunit ribosomal RNA
Source: RNAcentral